Molecule: ribosomal RNA, 497 nt
Filed under: uncultured bacterium
Lineage: Bacteria
Description: partial 16S ribosomal RNA
Rfam family: Bacterial small subunit ribosomal RNA
Source: RNAcentral
GACGAACGCUGGCGGCGUGCCUAAUACAUGCAAGUCGAGCGAACAGGCGCGGAGCUUGCUCCUCUGACGUUAGGGGCGGGCGGGAGAGUAGCACGUGGAUCCCGUCCCUGUGAGAAUGGGAUAAAUUGGGGAAAACGGCGCUAAUCGCGGAAAAUAUAUUGAUGCGCAUGGUUCAAUAGUGAACGACGGUUUUGCUGCCACUUAUAGAUGGAUCCGCGCCGCUUUAGCUGGUUGGUAAGGUAACGGACUACCAAGGCAACGAUGCGUAGCCGAGCUGAGAGGUGGAUCGCCCACCCGGGAACGGAGCCACGGCCCAGACUCCUGCGGGAGGCAGCAGAAGGGAACCUUCCGCAAUGGUCGAAAGCCUGACGGAGCAGCGCCGCGUGAGUUAUGAAGUUCUUCGGAUCGUAAAACUCUGUUUUGAGGUAAAAACAAAUUUGUAAGUAACUAUGCACUUCGUGACGGUACCUAAUCAGAAAGCCACGGCUAACUACGUG